UCUUAUGGUUUUGUCCAAAUUUAUUCUGUUUGUUUUUUUUUGUGAUGAUGAUGAUCAAUUUGAAUGAUCACUCAAAAUUCAUGGAAAAAAAUAUUCUAUUUAUAUCGAAAUUCUAUACACUUUUUUUCGAUAUAUUUAUGAAUAUAGAGACGAUAAUAUUCUGGCCAGAAAAAUAUGUUUUCUUCAUUUUCACAUUCGAUAUCUAAUGUCAGUCAUAGUGGAUAGAUAUUUGAUGGUAUGCAAUUACGAUAUCCAAUAGACAAUGUACUUUUUUUUCUUCAUACUUUCCAUCGAUAAAUUUAAUGUUUGAUUGACCAUUGAUUGAUUGGAUUCGAUUAUUUUGAUUAGAAUAAUGAUAAUAAUGUCUAUAUGGUUUUUUUUUUUUUUGGUGGCCUGUAUUGGUGAUUCUCGUCUUAUUUUCAUCAGGCAAUCAGUGAUAUGAAGUAAAAAAAGAAACUGGGUGUGUUUGUGUGUGUUGGUUUUGUUAUUUUUUUUUUC
Long non-coding RNA from Dermatophagoides farinae (American house dust mite), 498 nucleotides. RefSeq lists it as uncharacterized. The record is from RefSeq and is a predicted model, not a curated record. Lineage: Eukaryota; Metazoa; Arthropoda; Arachnida; Sarcoptiformes; Pyroglyphidae.